This 253-nucleotide ribosomal RNA is filed under the name uncultured bacterium. Its description in RNAcentral is "partial 16S ribosomal RNA". It matches the Rfam family "Bacterial small subunit ribosomal RNA", at positions 524 to 776 of the family's 1533-position model. The record is from RNAcentral.
UACGGAGGUGGCAAGCGUUGCUCGGAAUCACUGGGCGUAAAGGGCGCGUAGGCGGGGAGGUAAGUCGGGUGUGAAAUCCCUCGGCCCAACCGAGGAACUGCGCUCGAGACUGCUUCUCUUGAGUCCCGUAGAGGAAGAUGGAAUUCCCGGUGUAGCGGUGAAAUGUGUAGAGAUCGGGAGGAACACCGGUGGCGAAGGCGGUCUUCUGGACGGUGACUGACGCUGAGGCGCGAAAGCGUGGGGAGCAAACGGG